Molecule: RNA transcript, 3072 nt
Organism: Sebastes umbrosus (honeycomb rockfish)
Lineage: Eukaryota; Metazoa; Chordata; Actinopteri; Perciformes; Sebastidae
Gene name: vesicle-fusing ATPase-like
Exons: 23
Source: RefSeq, a predicted model, not a curated record
UGUGCGUGAUGACAUCAUACUACGUCGACAGAUCCCGCCUCUCCUUACGUGACUUUCUCAUUCCUGUCAGCAGAGCGUUUUUAUGCUGAGUUGCACUUGAACAGGAAUUAAACACAAAAAACACCCAAAGAUGACCGACCGGACUAUGCAAGCGGCUCGAUGCCCAACAGACGAACUGUCGUUGACCAACUGUGCCGUCAUUAAUGAGAAGGAGCCACAGUUUGAACAACAUGUGACUGUGCGCAAUUUAGCCCACGUGUAUGUGUUCACCUUGAAGAAACAUCCCAGCGUUAAUGCCGGGACCAUUGCCUUCAGCCUGCCACAGAGAAAAUGGGCCGGCCUGUCGAUUGGACAAGAAGUUAGAGUAACAAACUACAAGUUUGACAAGUCCAAACAGUGUAUAAGCACCAUGACCGUGGAAAUUGACUUCCUGCAGAAGAAGAGCGUGGACAGCAACCCCUACGACUCGGACAACAUGGCCAGCGAGUUCAUCCAGCACUUCAACAACCAGGCCUUCAGCGUCGGCCAGCAGCUGGUGUUAAGUUUCUGCGAUAAGCUGUUUAGCAUAAAUAUAAAGGAUAUUGAGGCCAUGGACCCGAGCAUCCUGAAGGCAGAACACACCCCUGGCAAGAAACCGAAGAUUGAGAUCGGUUUGUUGCUGGGAAACAGUCAGGUGGUUUUUGAGAAGUCAGAGAGCUCAUCCAUGACCCUGAUCGGGAAAUCCAAGACCAGAGAGUCUCGCCAGUCCAUCAUCAGCCCGGACUGGAACUUCGAGAGGAUGGGUAUCGGCGGCCUUGACAAGGAGUUCUCUGACAUCUUCCGUAGAGCGUUCGCCUCGCGAGUCUUCCCUACAGACAUCGUAGAACAGAUGGGCUGUAAGCACGUGAAGGGAAUCCUGCUGUACGGACCCCCAGGCUGCGGUAAAACCCUGAUGGCACGACAGAUUGGCAAGAUGCUCAAGGCCCGCGAGCCAAAGAUCGUCAACGGGCCCGAGAUUCUCAACAAGUACGUCGGAGAGUCUGAGGCCAACGUCAGGAAGCUGUUUGCAGACGCGGAGGACGAACAGAAGAGGCUCGGUGCCAACAGCGGCCUUCACAUCAUCAUACUCGAUGAGAUCGACGCCAUCUGUAAACAGCGUGGCAGCAUGGCGGGCAGCACGGGAGUCCACGACACCGUGGUCAACCAGCUGCUGUCCAAGAUAGACGGAGUGGAGCAGCUCAACAACAUCCUGGUCAUAGGUAUGACCAACAGGCCUGACCUGAUAGAUGAUGCCUUGUUGAGGCCGGGAAGACUGGAGGUGAAGAUGGAGAUCGGGUUACCGGAUGAAAAGGGCCGCAUUCAGAUCCUGAACAUCCACACAGCAAAGAUGCGUCUGCACGAACUGCUGUGCGGUGACGUUGACAUUAAAGAGCUGGCGUCGGAGACGAAGAACUACAGCGGUGCCGAGCUGGAGGGUCUGGUCAGGGCUGCACAGUCCACUGCCAUGAACAGACACAUAAAGGCCAGUAGCACAGUGGAGGUAAACAUCGAGACUGCAGAGAAGCUGCAGGUCUGCAGACUGGACUUCAUGGCCUCGCUGAAUAACGACAUCAAACCUGCGUUUGGUACCAAUCAGGAGGACUACGCCAGCUACAUCAUGAACGGGAUAAUCCGAUGGGGUGACCCGGUGUCGGCGGUCCUGGAGGACGGGGAGCUGCUGGUGCAGCAGACGAAGAACAGCGAACGCACACCGCUGGUCUCUGUGCUACUGGAGGGUCCACCUAACAGUGGGAAAACAGCGCUGGCUGCUAAGAUCUCUGAAGACUCCCAGUUUCCCUUUAUCAAGAUCUGCUCCCCCGACAAAAUGAUCGGACACUCGGAGAUCGCCAAAUGCCAAGCCAUCAAAAAGAUAUUUGAAGAUGCCUACAAGUCCCAGCUGAGCUGUGUGGUUGUGGAUGACAUUGAACGCUUGUUAGACUACGUCCCGAUUGGCCCUCGUUUCUCCAACCUGGUGUUACAAGCUUUACUGGUGCUGCUGAAGAAACCUCCUCCAAAGGGUCGUAAGCUGUUGAUCAUCGGCACCACAAGUCGUAAAGACGUCCUCCAGGAAAUGGAGAUGCUGAAUGCUUUCAGCACCACCAUCCACAUUCCCAACAUCUCGAGGGGAGAGCAGCUGGUCGAGGCCCUGGAGCUGCUGGGCAGUUUUCAGGAUGGGGAGCGGGUCACCAUAGCUAAAGCUGUGAAGGGACAAGAUAUGUGGAUCGGCAUAAAGAAGUUGCUCAUGCUGAUUGAAAUGGCCAUCCAGAUGGAUGCUGGCUACAGAGUUACCAAGUUCCUGAGUCUACUGAAGGAAGAAGGAAGACUGGGUUGUAAUACGUCUAUCUAGACUCAGUGGAGCCACAUAGUGAAAAAGAGGCAUCCUUCAACGUUAGCUGGCUAAUCCUGCUCUGUGAGAUGCGCCCAUGAGGACGGGCUGCCCUGGGUGAUGAUGAUGAUGAUGAUGAACAACAAAAACAACUUGAACAACUUCUCAACUUGCAGCCGGAGCUUUGCGUCUCAUCGCAGCCUCAGAGACUUAUGUUGCGGAGGAUCGGAAGCCUGAAAGAGGCUGGCAGGAGGAAGCAAGCGAGAGAUCAUUUCCAUCUCUCUCUCUGCAUCCUUCCCUUCCGUCCCUGAAGCUCGGCGCGCUUCUCUCUGCACUGCAGCUUUCAGCAGCAGCAGCAGCAGCCGACCAGGCAUCCUCCUCCUCUCCACCACUAUGUGUGAACAUGUAAAAUAAGAGAAACGAGCAGUGUAUGUGGUAUCUGUGUAUAUUGCAUUUGCAGAAGACUAGUGCUGUGAUCUCCAUGUGACGCACUCCGUUGGGAUUUUAUAUGUAAAAGGAAAAAAUACAAUUUCUAUGGCAAGUAGAUGUGCAUGCACGAACACUAAUCAUAACACUGUUUAUAUUUGUAUGCACAGAUUUGUAAUCUGAUCAUUCCAGGACACGGUGGCUCCAUCACUUAAAGAUCUCACUUUGUUCUUAUCGUUUAUACUUGCUCAUGUCUGAUCUUUUUAUUUUAUGAAUAAAUUAAUUCUAUUACUAACAAGAAA